UACGUAGGGUGCGAGCGUUGUCCGGAAUUAUUGGGCGUAAAGGGCUCGUAGGCGGUUUGUCGCGUCGGGAGUGAAAACUCAGGGCUUAACUCUGAGCCUGCUUCCGAUACGGGCAGACUAGAGGUAUGCAGGGGAGAACGGAAUUCCUGGUGUAGCGGUGAAAUGCGCAGAUAUCAGGAGGAACACCGGUGGCGAAGGCGGUUCUCUGGGCAUUACCUGACGCUGAGGAGCGAAAGUGUGGGGAGCGAACAGG
RNAcentral lists this ribosomal RNA (253 nucleotides) under uncultured bacterium. RNAcentral's name for it is "partial 16S ribosomal RNA". It matches the Rfam family "Bacterial small subunit ribosomal RNA", at positions 524 to 776 of the family's 1533-position model. The record is from RNAcentral.